GGAAUUUUGGACAAUGGGGGCAAACCUGAUCCAGCCAUGCCGCGUGAGUGAAGAAGGCCUUUGGGUUGUAAAGCUCUUUUGGCGGGGAAGAAAAGGCACCGGGUAAUAUCCCUUGUGGAUGACGGUACCCGCAUAAGAAGCACCGGCUAAAUACGUGCCAGCAGCCGCGGUAAUACGUAGGGUGCGAGCGUUUAUCUGAAUUAUUGGGGGUAAAGCGUGCGCAGGCGGUUUUUUAAGACAGACGUGAAAUCCCCGGGCUCAACCCGGGAAAUGCGUUUGUGAGUGCGAGGGUAGAGUACGGCAGAGGGGGGUGGAAUUUCACGUGUAGCACUGAAAUGCGUAGAGAUGUGGAGGAAAACCGAUGGGGAAGGCAGCCCCCUGGGUUAGUACUGACGCUCAUGCACGAAAGCGUGGGGAGCAAACACGAUUAGAUACCCCGGUAGUCCACGCCCUAAACGAUGUCAAAUAGGUGUUGGAAGGGUUAAACCUUUUAGUACCGCAGCUAACGCG
This 510-nucleotide ribosomal RNA is filed under the name uncultured bacterium. RNAcentral describes it as "bacterial SSU rRNA". It matches the Rfam family "Bacterial small subunit ribosomal RNA", at positions 358 to 859 of the family's 1533-position model. The record is from RNAcentral.